CCUACGGGUGGCAGCAGUGGGGAAUAUUGCACAAUGGGCGCAAGCCUGAUGCAGCCAUGCCGCGUGUGUGAAGAAGGCCUUCGGGUUGUAAAGCACUUUCAGCGGGGAGGAAGGCGUUAAGGUUAAUAACCUUGGCGAUUGACGUUACCCGCAGAAGAAGCACCGGCUAACUCCGUGCCAGCAGCCGCGGUAAUACGGAGGGUGCAAGCGUUAAUCGGAAUUACUGGGCGUAAAGCGCACGCAGGCGGUCUGUCAAGUCGGAUGUGAAAUCCCCGGGCUCAACCUGGGAACUGCAUUCGAAACUGGCAGGCUAGAGUCUUGUAGAGGGGGGUAGAAUUCCAGGUGUAGCGGUGAAAUGCGUAGAGAUCUGGAGGAAAACCGGUGGCGAAGGCGGCCCCCUGGACAAAGACUGACGCUCAGGUGCGAAAGCGUGGGGAGCAAACAGGAUUAGAUACCCCUGUAGUC
This 465-nucleotide ribosomal RNA is filed under the name uncultured Klebsiella sp. RNAcentral's name for it is "bacterial SSU rRNA". It matches the Rfam family "Bacterial small subunit ribosomal RNA", at positions 338 to 795 of the family's 1533-position model. Lineage: Bacteria; Pseudomonadati; Pseudomonadota; Gammaproteobacteria; Enterobacterales; Enterobacteriaceae. The record is from RNAcentral.